GACGAACGCUGGCGGCGUGCCUAAUACAUGCAAGUAGAACGCUGAAGAGAGGAGCUUGCUCUUCUUGGAAGAGUUGCGAACGGGUGAGUAACGCGUAGGUAACCUGCCUUGUAGCGGGGGAUAACUAUUGGAAACGAUAGCUAAUACCGCAUAACAAUGGGUGACCCAUGUCAUUCAUUUGAAAGGGGCAACUGCUCCACUACAAGAUGGACCUGCGUUGUAUUAGCUAGUAGGUGAGGUAACGGCUCACCUAGGCGACGAUACAUAGCCGACCUGAGAGGGUGAUCGGCCACACUGGGACUGAGACACGGCCCAGACUCCUACGGGAGGCAGCAGUAGGGAAUCUUCGGCAAUGGGGGCAACCCUGACCGAGCAACGCCGCGUGAGUGAAGAAGGUUUUCGGAUCGUAAAGCUCUGUUGUAAGUCAAGAACGAGUGUGAGAGUGGAAAGUUCACACUGUGACGGUAGCUUGCCAGAAAGGGACGGCUAACUACGUGCCAGCAGCCGCGGUAAUACGUAGGUCCCGAGCGUUGUCCGGAUUUAUUGGGCGUAAAGCGAGCGCAGGCGGUUUGAUAAGUCUGAAGUUAAAGGCUGUGGCUCAACCAUAGUUCGCUUUGGAAACUGUCAAACUUGAGUGCAGAAGGGGAGAGUGGAAUUCCAUGUGUAGCGGUGAAAUGCGUAGAUAUAUGGAGGAACACCGGUGGCGAAAGCGGCUCUCUGGUCUGUAACUGACGCUGAGGCUCGAAAGCGUGGGGAGCGAACAGG
This 765-nucleotide ribosomal RNA is filed under the name uncultured Streptococcus sp. Its description in RNAcentral is "bacterial SSU rRNA". It matches the Rfam family "Bacterial small subunit ribosomal RNA", at positions 28 to 776 of the family's 1533-position model. Lineage: Bacteria; Bacillati; Bacillota; Bacilli; Lactobacillales; Streptococcaceae. The record is from RNAcentral.